GCCACCGUGCACGGAUGCGACCCGGGUCUCCGAAGCCCGGUGCGGCGGUUCGAUUCCGCCCGGCGGCACCA
This 71-nucleotide transfer RNA is filed under the name Kofleriaceae bacterium. RNAcentral describes it as "tRNA-Ser". It matches the Rfam family "tRNA". From Rfam's summary of the family: Transfer RNA (tRNA) molecules are approximately 80 nucleotides in length. Their secondary structure includes four short double-helical elements and three loops (D, anti-codon, and T loops). Lineage: Bacteria; Pseudomonadati; Myxococcota; Haliangiales; Kofleriaceae. The record is from RNAcentral.